This 266-nucleotide long non-coding RNA is filed under the name Bos taurus (domestic cattle). RNAcentral's name for it is "long non-coding RNA NONBTAT018274". The record is from RNAcentral. Lineage: Eukaryota; Metazoa; Chordata; Mammalia; Artiodactyla; Bovidae.
UCAUAAUGAGGCUUCUCUCUUGGAGUUACAGUGGGAUUUUGGGGGGCUGGAUUGCCUGUCCUCACAUUCUCCCUCCUUGUCCAGCAUAUCUUGAAAAGAUCCAUAGGAGCAUAAUAUGUUGCUUUUAAAUUUAAGUAUAGGAAGAAAUCUUAAAAUGCUGUAUUUUUAUGUUUAAUUUCAAUGCCUCAUUUGAGAAAUGUUUUGGGAUGUUUAAUAAAAGUUAAAUUGUUUUAAAGAAUACUAUGAAAUAAUCUGUAAUAUGUCAA